Molecule: long non-coding RNA, 945 nt
Organism: Diabrotica virgifera virgifera (western corn rootworm)
Lineage: Eukaryota; Metazoa; Arthropoda; Insecta; Coleoptera; Chrysomelidae
Exons: 3
Source: RefSeq, a predicted model, not a curated record
CACAUAAACUAACAAAGAGGUUAUGUUUGUAGGUAUCUUUUAUCUAUUUUUCAAUGAUUUUUCAUUGUUUAUAAUCAUCGUAUUUUGUCUAUUUUGGAUUCAUUUGGAUUUCGUUUCCUGUUUUUGUGAACUUUAUAAACUUAACCACAAUGCAAAAUGAUUAUUUAAGGAAAUUAUUAUUGGAAACUUCAGAUGUUGCGAGAAAGAUAUUUAUUGAAGCUGAAAAUAAUUGGGGAUUUAGAUCCAUACGCAAUUCAGUCAGAAUUGGAUUUUACAGUUAAGUGCAGUCCAUCAAGUUACUAUUAUAGAUAUUUAUACAUAUUUGGUGGAGUCUCACAGUUGCUACUCUAAGCAGCAGAUGAAAGCAUACAAAAGCCUUCAGGCACAUAAAUAUUUUACAGCUGGAUUUGUUUUGAAUGGAGUAAAAAUUGUUAAUGAUUUCCAUAUUAUUGUAGGAAAGGUGAAGCAUUUCCAAAAAGUUAAUGCUAAACGACUAAAUGCUUGGGUGGGGUGAUAGCCAGUUCUGAUGACAUAGCAAAUGCACAUUGUAUGCAUAUGGCCGGUAAUAGUAAAGUAUGCCCAGGGCAAGACAGACGAAGAAGAACCCAAUGCAUGUACAUAUGUUACAGCUACAUGGUUUGGAGAUAGCAACAUAUGCAUUCUCUGAUGAAAAACUAAUGAGUUUUGAAACUGUUCGGUCAGAGUGCUUGUUGCGCUCACUGAACGAACUGAAAUAUGAGAUGGCUUUGGCAUUGUGUUGCAGCGAUAUGAAAAUGGUUAUUCAUUUUUAAUUAUAAUGUACUUCUUCAUCAUGAGUAAUUAUGUAUUGGUCUUUUAAAUGUGUAUUUAUUUUUGUAAUUAGUAUCAACUUGUAAUGAUAAUAUACAUUUAUCGUUUAAGGUAUGACUAUGUUUAGACUCUAAAAUAAAUGUUUUAAAAAUCGAA